Molecule: long non-coding RNA, 1690 nt
Filed under: Mytilus galloprovincialis (Mediterranean mussel)
Lineage: Eukaryota; Metazoa; Mollusca; Bivalvia; Mytilida; Mytilidae
Source: RNAcentral
GCGAUCAAACAUCAGAUAACUUACAAUAAGAACGGUAAUUAAUCAGUAGAAAUGCUUAUUUCAUGCAAUAUAUCCUUGUAAUAUUUCUUGAUCGUCUAUUUGAAAAUGAAGUACUUAUCAAUAGUUGGAGUAACGGUUGUGUUUCUUGUCAUCCUUUCGUGUGGUAAGUACAUGUUAUUUGUUAUGAAACAAAAUAUUUUCUAUAACAUUUUAUUUUCGAUUUUUUAAAUUAAUUAAGUCAGACUUAAUCAUACACCGAAAUUAUGAUUUAAUUGAAAUGAAAAAUAAGAACCAAUUGAAAUUGGCGGUUGGAAAUCUGCAACAGUCAAAGUUCCUACACUUUCAUGUUUUUGUACGUUAACAUUUUGUUUUUUGUUUUACAUGUAUACAGUAUAAACAAUUCCAAACGUUUGUUAUGUAUCCAUGAAUUGGAUAUAACAAAAAAAUUAUCUUUCAAUAAUUGCUGUUCUAAGAAUUUUUUUUGAUAAAAAAUAUUUUCUUGUUUUUUACUUUUUUUAACAUAAGAUCAGUAUGUUCAACAUAAAGUUAAUAGUUAUCAAAGGUUACAGGCUUAUAAUUUGAUACACCAGCCACGCGAUACAUCUACAUAAGACUCAUUCGUGACGCUCAGAUAAAAAAAAGGUAGAAAUCUAAACAAGCACAAAGUUGAAAAGCAUUAACAAACAAGUGUUUACACAAUUAUUCUAGAUAAUCACAGAUUCAAAAAGUUUAUAGAAACAUCUCAAUUUUCAAUUACCCUAAAUAAAAUCAUGCAGCGUUUUAAAAUCUGUGAUCUAAUUGAUUCCAUACUUAAAGUUAGCAGACUAUAUGUAACCGGUAUAAAAAUAGAAAAAAAAAUAAUUGCAGAAAUUCAUUAGCUUUGUGAAGCAAAUUAUGUUUGUUAAACAUUCACUUUUUAUAUCUAGAAGAGCGAGGAGUGAAGGCACAACCCAGACACAGUGACAAGGUAUACAGUUGUCAAGGAUACUGCCGACAAUCAACGACAGCUUAUAAUCCUUUGUGUAACAAUUGUUGUCGAAAGAACAUUAAACAAUAUGACGUCGGACGAUGUUAUUUUAACGCGUGCCAUUGUUGGCAUUGGCUAACUUGAUUCAAAUUGAUUGUCAGUAUCAUGUAUAACCACACGUGACAGCAAUCAAAAAAUAGAAUUAACAACGUGUAGCAAUAUCAAAACUUUGUCGGAUCUCGCAAUUUUAUACAAUAUGGGAAUACAUGACCUUAUAAAUGCAUGGAGAACAACAAUACAACAAUCACGGCGAAAAUAAAUAAAAAUAAAAUGUACAGCGGUUCCAUGAGACAUUAGGGUGUUGACAAACAAUGGCUCUACAAAAUCCUCAAAUGAAAAACGUCAUGGCAAAUACGAAUUGCAUGCAAACAAAAACGCUCGUCAAAACUAUUCACUUACACAAAUUGGUUAAAAUAUUUUCCGUCCACCAAGUCAGAAUAGCUUCGUAUACCUUACAGUAAGAUUAUAUUAAAUUGUCCCGUCGAACGGAUAUGCAUGUAGCUGCUUAAAUACAUGUAUAUCUACUCAAAAUGGUUAUUUCAAUAAGAUGUUGACAAAUCAUCUGUUGUCACUUGCGAUACAAAAAGGCGUAUACUUGCAAUAUGUUCUAUGUUACUUGUAUAUUGCUUACUUGACGUUAUAAAUUAUAGAAUUAAACAGUAC